CGGGAGAUUUCAAAGAAAGCUCCUAGCGGGUUACGGGCUCACUAUUACCAAGCCCACCUCACAAUGAUACGAUGUCGGCUAGCAAAAAUAAUAAUGAGAGGGUACAAGUACCCAUUCACAACUACCUCUUGUGAUUACCCAUCUUUUUGGCCUCUAGAGAAAAAUGCCCCACGAUGAUAUGAUGUUGGCACCUUUUCUCUUAGUUAAGUUUUGACCCACCAUGCCGGUUUAGAUAGGGGUUCAAGUAUGACCUCACGAUGAUACGAUGUUGGCCACACUCGUUGCCUACCUUCACCUCAUCAAAUGUUUUAAAUAAACUCCUCCUGAGUAUAAGCAUGCACUUUGCACUCCCCCAUGAUAGGGUGAAGGCGGUGUACAAGUCAUAAACGAUUGGAGCCUACCAUGGUGGAAGGCCACGAAAAAGUGUUCAAAGCACUCUUACGCUUUCAACUUAAUAUUGUAUGUUGGUUGAGGGAUUUUAAGGUCUCAUCAAUUUUUAUUUAUUUAAUCAUAUUCAAAUAAAUUUUCCUAUUAUAACUAUUAGUCCAAAGUUAAUGAAAUUAGUAGCAUAUGAUAUCCCCACUAUUUGUUUUCAUAAAACAAAUCAAUAUCAAAACAUUUUUCAAAAUAUUGGAGAUAUAUAUAACUACUAAUUGUAUUCAUUAUAGUUUAGUAGUGUAUGAUACUCCCACUAUUUGUUUAAGAAAAACAAAUCAAUAUCAAAAAUGAAUUUUUUUUAAAUAUUGGAAGUAACUACUACUACUACGGUUUUUGUAUUCCUUUGAAAUUGGACUUUAUAGUUAUCUUAGGCUCUUGGAUGACCAUGGACUUAUUGGGUUAUUGUAACAACGAGCCAACAUUGUUGAAUAAGAACUCGGGGAGGUUGUGUCAAUUUAAUUACGUGCUUUUCAAUCCAAUUAAAACAUUUUCAUUGAGCCAUUAGAAAUGAAAGACAAUCAUUCAUUGCUAAUUAGGGCGUUGGACCCAUUUAAUCUUUAAUCUCAUGUCAAAACCGUCUUUUAGUUAUGUCUCCUUACCAAUAGUUAAAGAAACUCUAGUCUAGCACUAGAGGGAAUGAACUAACUAAAAGAGAUUAAGAAGUAAUAAGAAUUACAAACCGAUUUGCACAAAUUCCUACAAAUUACACAUACUAAGAGGGAGAGAUAGAUUAAUGUCCAAGGUGACAAGGUCCAAUUGAAACAGUAAUUAAAACACAUUCCAAAGGUUCAAACAAUUUGAGUUUAGCGCCUUAUCUCAUAGCUCAAUUAUCGUUUAAGGCAUAAGUCCAUAGUCAUCCAUUUUUCUAACUACUUAAUCACAUUAAAUAAUCAUAUGGAAUGCAACAUAAACAAUUAGAUUUAGUGCAUAUGGGCAUAAUAAUAUUAUGAGUUUAAACAACCAAUACAAUUAAAAUCAAAUAUUUUAACUUUUUAUAUGGAUGGGGCCUAUUAUGCAAAUAUGAAAAGUUAGGGGUCAAAUCGUAAAUACUUGAAAGUAAAUAUCAACUUUUCAAAGAUUACAAAAUAGCCCCACAAGUGGAUAAAUCCACUAGGGAGGCCAGCCACUUAAUGGGGAUGGGAGGUUUCUUACACAACAUGCAUUAAUUCAACAUUAUGAAGAAAAAUUAAAUUUUGCUUGUCACUUGGUUUUGCUUUAAGGACUUUAAGAAAAGGGUGAUGGAAAUUCACCUAGUCAAGUCUAGGAUUGAAUUAAAUUUUUUGGGAAGGCUAUGGAUGGUAAGUGCAUCAUCCAAAACCUCAAAACAAUGUAUGAACACAAAACAAAACCAUUCUCACCAAAACCAAAACCAUGAACACCAAGAACAAAACCAUGAACACAAUUUCAAGAUUUGUACAUUCUUGAUGAUUUUUCAAACCCAAAAACAAAAGUGACAAGAACUCUUUUUCUAGCUUUAAAAGGAUGUGAGAGUGGUUUACAAUAAAACACAAACACAACCCAAAACCACCCCCAAAACCGUGCCCUCCCAUUUGGAAUAAAAACCCCAAAUUUUAGUUCUAAACUCAAUCUUCAUUCAUGCAUCCAAAACACUUUUGCAUGCAUAUCUUUUCAACUAUUGAUUUACAUUUUUCAACCAUUGAAAAACAAAAGAUAAACAUACUUUGAAUGAAGCAAUAAUAUGUCAUACAUAAAAUUAAAAAACUCAUAUGCAUAAAAUCCAAAAGGACAUAUCUUACAUAAACCUUUGGCUCUGAUACCACUUGAAGGGAAAUUUAUGAGAUUUCAUGUGGGAUUUCUAGUGACUAGCAUGCAUAUACAAUUCAAGAUUUAUAUACGAAAGCAACGGAAGCAUGUUAUCAAAUAAUAUCAAAGCUCUAGUCAUGCAAAUCCCCUUCAAGAUGCAUAGGUUUAUGUAAGAUGCAUCAAAAAACAAAUUUAUAUAUAAGAACAAAGUUUAGGAGUAGUUUUAUACCUCUUGAUCUAGAUCUUAGACCAAG
RNAcentral lists this long non-coding RNA (2456 nucleotides) under Malus domestica (apple). Its description in RNAcentral is "long non-coding RNA (MDOM_LNC018146)". Lineage: Eukaryota; Viridiplantae; Streptophyta; Magnoliopsida; Rosales; Rosaceae. The record is from RNAcentral.